This is a long non-coding RNA of Zea mays, 753 nucleotides long. RefSeq lists it as uncharacterized. NCBI's taxonomy places the organism in Eukaryota, Viridiplantae, Streptophyta, Magnoliopsida, Poales, Poaceae. The transcript has 2 exons. The record is from RefSeq and is a predicted model, not a curated record.
AAAAACAAACGACAAACCCAGGGAGAAAGGACGCGCGAGACGGAGUCGCCGGAGGGCCCCGCGCGCAGGCGGGGCGGAUGCCGUCCCGUCCCGCCCCGUUCGGCCGGGCCGCACUCGGCACUCGCACCGGAUGGAUGCGGUCGCCGUCGCGUGGCGUGGACCCCGUCGUCGAAGAUGCGAGCGGAGGCGGCGGCGGCCGCCUGGCCUGGCCUGUGGCAUGUGGCCUGGCUUGCCUAGCGAAGUAGUCGCCGCGCGUCGCGUGGAGUGGAUGGAGGGAGGCUCUGGAUGGAGUUGGAGCCCCGGCCUUCCGGUCGGCAGGUGGGACUUGGCCGCUCGUCCCAGCGCCUCGCCCCGGCAGCCUGCAAUGCAAGUGGCCGGCCAGCGACUUGUCGGUCCUGGAGCUUGACCGGCUCGCUCCCGGUCCCAGUCCCAGGCCCGUGCACGGAGGAUGUGUGUGACUUGUCUGCUCGCAGUCACGUGCGCAAACUGUGCGUGCGGCACGGAUUCGAAGCUUUGGUGGUACAGUACAGUAGCUGUGGUGGGGACUGCGUGGCAAAAGUCAAGUCUUGUCUUGGCCAAGGUUCUGGCUUUUUUUGUUUUUUUUUCUACGCGCUAGCUGUUGCAUCUUGCUGCAGAGUAAAUCUGUACACCCAUUUUUUGAUAUAAACGGUCGAUAUAUGUGGGCUUGAGAAAAUGGUGUAUUCUUCGUUGUACAACCCACAUGAUGUAUUACAGUUUUUUUUUAAAAAAAAU